RNAcentral lists this ribosomal RNA (467 nucleotides) under uncultured bacterium. RNAcentral's name for it is "partial 16S ribosomal RNA". It matches the Rfam family "Bacterial small subunit ribosomal RNA", at positions 28 to 506 of the family's 1533-position model. The record is from RNAcentral.
GACGAACGCUGGCGGCGUGCUUAACACAUGCAAGUCGAACGGAAAGGCCCUGCUUUUGUGGGGUGCUCGAGUGGCGAACGGGUGAGUAACACGUGAGUAACCUGCCCUUGACUUUGGGAUAACUUCAGGAAACUGGGGCUAAUACCGGAUAGGAGCUCCUGCUGCAUGGUGGGGGUUGGAAAGUUUCGGCGGUUGGGGAUGGACUCGCGGCUUAUCAGCUUGUUGGUGGGGUAGUGGCUUACCAAGGCUUUGACGGGUAGCCGGCCUGAGAGGGUGACCGGCCACAUUGGGACGGAGAUCCGGCCCAGACUCCUAGGGGAGGAAGCAGUGGGGAAUAUUGCACAAUGGGCGGAAGCCUGAUGAAGCAACGCCGCGUGCGGGAUGACGGCCUUCGGGUUGUAACCCGCUUUCGCCUGUGACGAAGCGUGAGUGACGGUAAUGGGUAUAGAAGAACCGGCUAACUACGU